AGAGUUUGAUCCUGGCUCAGAUUGAACGCUGGCGGCGUGCUUAAUACAUGCAAGUCGAGCGGUAACAGGUGUAGCAAUACAUGCUGACGAGCGGCGAACGGGUGAGUAAUGCUUCGGAAUCUGCCUAGUAGUGGGGAAUAACUAACCGAAAGGUUAGCUAAUGCCGCAUACGACCUAUGGGUGAAAGCGGGGGAUCGUAAGACCUCGCGCUAUUAGAUGAGCCGAAGUCGGAUUAGCUUGUUGGUGGGGUAACGGCCUACCAAGGCUUCGACGGGUAGCUGGUCUGAGAGGACGACCAGCCGGAUUGGGACUGAGAUACGGCCCAGACUCCUACGGGGGGCAGCAAUUAGGAAUCUUGCGCAAUGGGCGAAAGCCUGACGCAGCGACGCCGCGUGAAGGAUGAAGUCUUUCGGGACGUAAACUUCUUUUAUCGAGGAAGAAGAAUGUGACGGUACUCGAUGAAUAAGCCCCGGCUAACUACGUGCCAGCAGCCGCGGUAAUACGUAGGGGGCAAGCGUUGUCCGAAUUUACUGGGCGUAAAGAGCGUGUAGGCGGACUCUUAAGUGAGUGGUGAAAGUUUUAGGCUCAACCUAAAAAGUGCCUUUCAUACUGGGAGUCUUGAGUGUGGGAGAGGCGAGUGGAAUUCCUGGUGUAGCGGUGAAAUGCGUAGAUAUCAGGAGGAACACCCAUGGCGAAGGCAGCUCGCUGGCCUACAACUGACGCUGAGACGCGAAAGCGUGGGGAGCAAACAGGAUUAGAUACCCUGGUAGUCCACGCCCUAAACGAUGAAUGCUAGGUGUUAGUGGUAUCGACCCCACUAGUGCCGCAGCUAACGCAAUAAGCAUUCCGCCUGGGGAGUACGGCCGCAAGGUUGAAACUUAAAGGAAUGACGG
RNAcentral lists this ribosomal RNA (893 nucleotides) under uncultured bacterium. Its description in RNAcentral is "bacterial SSU rRNA". It matches the Rfam family "Bacterial small subunit ribosomal RNA", at positions 8 to 916 of the family's 1533-position model. The record is from RNAcentral.